GGUUGACCUCGGAUCAGGUAGGGAUACCCGCUGAACUUAAGCAUAUCAAUAAGCGGAGGAAAAGAAACCAACAGGGAUUGCCUCAGUAACGGCGAGUGAAGCGGCAAGAGCUCAAAUUUGAAAUCUGGCUCCUUCGGGGUCCGAGUUGUAAUUUGUAGAGGAUGCUUCGGGUGCGGCCCCCGUCUAAGUGCUCUGGAACGGGCCAUCGGAGAGGGUGAGAAUCCCGUCUGGGACGGGGUGUCCGCGUCCAUGUGAAGCUCCUUCGACGAGUCGAGUUGUUUGGGAAUGCAGCUCUAAAUGGGUGGUAAAUUUCAUCUAAAGCUAAAUACUGGCCGGAGACCGAUAGCGCACAAGUAGAGUGAUCGAAAGAUGAAAAGCACUUUGAAAAGAGAGUUAAACAGCACGUGAAAUUGUUGAAAGGGAAGCGCUUGCGACCAGACUCGCUUCCGGGGUUCAGCCGGCUUUCGGGCCGGUGUACUUCCCCGGGGGCGGGCCAGCGUCGGUUUGGGCGGCCGGUCAAAGGCCCCUGGAAUGUAACGCCCCUCGGGGCGCCUUAUAGCCAGGGGUGUCAUGCGGCCAGCCUGGACCGAGGAACGCGCUUCGGCACGGACGCUGGCAUAAUGGUCGUAAACGACC
RNAcentral lists this ribosomal RNA (636 nucleotides) under Eurotium medium. Its description in RNAcentral is "eukaryotic LSU rRNA". It matches the Rfam family "Eukaryotic large subunit ribosomal RNA", at positions 1 to 649 of the family's 3401-position model. RNAcentral also lists the same sequence under 1 other name. Lineage: Eukaryota; Fungi; Ascomycota; Eurotiomycetes; Eurotiales; Aspergillaceae. The record is from RNAcentral.